Xiphophorus couchianus (Monterrey platyfish) is the source of this 1209-nucleotide long non-coding RNA. RefSeq lists it as uncharacterized. Lineage: Eukaryota; Metazoa; Chordata; Actinopteri; Cyprinodontiformes; Poeciliidae. The transcript is spliced from 2 exons. The record is from RefSeq and is a predicted model, not a curated record.
AUGAGAUUUGGUUCUAUAAAAACAGCUUUAAUGCUGGAAAAUGAUCAAAUGUUACAAGCCACACAUGUUGUACAAACGGAUCAGAACCAGAGUGGAAACACUGAGCUCACCUGCUGGUCAGGACCAGAUGGAGGACAGGCGCUGAGUCACCUGCCUCUUCUUCAUGUCAACCUGCGAAACAAAAACACGAUAAUAAAACCUUCAUCACACAGCAGUGAGGGAGUGGUUCAUUAACGGCUGCUGAAGCAGAGACAGUCUUCCGGUUCUGGUUCUGGUUUGGCUUCCGGUUGCGCUCUGACGUCCUGCGGGGUUUCCCAGCCAGCAGCAGCAGGGUUCACAGCGCUGGGCUGAUUGGAGGCGUAACGGAUGGAAGAGACGAAGAAGAAAAGCUAACAUCAGAAAAACAUCCAGACCUUCAGGAGAAAACCGCUCAGCUUCCUGUUCCACACAUCUGCUGAUAAAAUCACAGUAAAAUAAUUAAAUAAAAGCUCAUAUAGCGUAAGGUGACCAGAUUUCUAAGAUUAAAUCUGGGACAUUCCUCACUCGGUGAUAAAGAAGAAGCAAAUUUAUCAAACUAAAAUGAAAAAACCGGGACAGAUAAGUUUACAUAUUCAUUAACAUUUAAACAUUAAAAAUCACAUAUAAAAGCAGGAACGUGUCUCUCCACACUGUGGUAAUAUUACUAUUAAUAAUAAUAAAAGUAACAGCAAUAGAAGAUUAAAACUGGAAGUUGUGUACAUAGUUUGUAAUAUACAUUAAUAACAUAGUUGGUUCCUCUGUUAAUGAACAAAAAGCCACAAUGGUAACAGAAGUAACUUGAAACUAACAAAAGUAGUAAAAAAUUGUUUACUGAUGAAAAUCAGACACUGAUUUUAAAUUAUGGCUCAAUUAAAAUGAUGGUAGUUAAAACUUAUUAGCAUGUUUGUGUCUGAUGUUCAUUUUGUCUCGUCUCUCCCAGAACCUGUGUGGUAAAUUCAGCCUCACUUUUUAUGAUUUGUUUUCCUCCUUGGUCAUUUCACAUCAAGUCCAGCUUGACCUUGGAGUUCACCUUUACUUUCUGGACUUUAGUAACCUUUCGUAUCAUAAUUUUCUUGAAUUUGUCCAUUUUCUUCCUGCAGCCGCAGCCAGAGACAUCGGCUCCAGUCCUGUGGACUUGAAGUUUCUGUAGUCAUCUUGGUCUGUCAUUUUCUUAUUGUGUUGAACCUCAAU